AGUGAACGCUGGCGGUAGGCCUAACACAUGCAAGUCGAACGGCAGCACAGUAAGAGCUUGCUCUUACGGGUGGCGAGUGGCGGACGGGUGAGGAAUACAUCGGAAUCUACUUUUUCGGGGGGGAUAACGUAGGGAAACUUACGAUAAUACCGCAUACGACCUACGGGUGAAAGCAGUGGAUCGUCGGACCUUGCGCGAUUGAAUGAGCCGAUGUCGGAUUAGCUGGUUGGCGGGGUAAAGGCCCACCAAGGCGACGAUCCGUAGCUGGUCUGAGAGGAUGAUCAGCCACACUGGAACUGAGCCACGGUCCAGACUACUACGGGAGGCAGCAGUGGGGAAUAUUGGACAGUGGGCGCAAGCCUGAUCCAGCGAUACCGCGUGGGUGAAGAAGGCCUUCGGGUUGUAAAGCCCUUUUGUUGGGAAAGAAAAGCAGCAGGUUAAUACCCCGCUGUUCUGACGGUACCCAAAGAAUAAGCACCGGCUAACUUCGUG
This 492-nucleotide ribosomal RNA is filed under the name uncultured bacterium. RNAcentral describes it as "partial 16S ribosomal RNA". It matches the Rfam family "Bacterial small subunit ribosomal RNA", at positions 29 to 507 of the family's 1533-position model. The record is from RNAcentral.